This 876-nucleotide ribosomal RNA is filed under the name Apiospora guizhouensis. Its description in RNAcentral is "Arthrinium guizhouense partial large subunit ribosomal RNA". It matches the Rfam family "Eukaryotic large subunit ribosomal RNA", at positions 52 to 954 of the family's 3401-position model. The record is from RNAcentral. Lineage: Eukaryota; Fungi; Ascomycota; Sordariomycetes; Amphisphaeriales; Apiosporaceae.
GGAGGAAAAGAAACCAACAGGGAUUCCCCUAGUAACGGCGAGUGAAGCGGGAACAGCUCAAAUUUGAAAUCUGGCCCUUGGGUCCGAGUUGUAAUUUGCAGAGGAUGCUUUUGGUGCGGUGCCUUCCGAGUUCCCUGGAACGGGACGCCUUAGAGGGUGAGAGCCCCGUACGGUUGGACACCAAGCCUAUGUAAAGCUCCUUCGACGAGUCGAGUAGUUUGGGAAUGCUGCUCAAAAUGGGAGGUAUAUUUCUUCUAAAGCUAAAUAUUGGCCAGAGACCGAUAGCGCACAAGUAGAGUGAUCGAAAGAUGAAAAGCACUUUGAAAAGAGGGUUAAAUAGCACGUGAAAUUGUUGAAAGGGAAGGAUUUAUGACCAGACUUUUUCUAGGGGGAUCAUCCGGUGUUCUCACCGGUGCACUUCCCCUAGUUGAGGCCAGCAUCGGUUUCUGUCGGGGGAUAAAAGCUUUAGGAAUGUGGCUCCCUCCGGGGAGUGUUAUAGCCUGUUGCAUAAUACCCUGACGGGGACCGAGGUUCGCGCAUUGCAAGGAUGCUGGCGUAAUGGUUAUUAAUCACCCGUCUUGAAACACGGACCAAGGAGUCGAACAUUUGUGCGAGUGUUUGGGUGUUAAACCCUCACGCGUAAUGAAAGUGAACGGAGGUGAGAGCCUUUCGGGGUGCAUCAUCGACCGAUCCUGAUGUCUUCGGAUGGAUUUGAGUAAGAGCAUUAAUGUUCGGACCCGAAAGAUGGUGAACUAUGCGUGGAUAGGGUGAAGCCAGAGGAAACUCUGGUGGAGGCUCGCAGCGGUUCUGACGUGCAAAUCGAUCGUCAAAUCUGCGCAUGGGGGCGAAAGACUAAUCGAACCAUCUAGUAGCUGG